This 767-nucleotide ribosomal RNA is filed under the name uncultured bacterium. Its description in RNAcentral is "bacterial SSU rRNA". It matches the Rfam family "Bacterial small subunit ribosomal RNA", at positions 28 to 776 of the family's 1533-position model. The record is from RNAcentral.
AUUGAACGCUGGCGGCAGGCCUAACACAUGCAAGUCGAGCGGAAACGAGUUAUCUGAACCUUCGGGGGACGAUAACGGCGUCGAGCGGCGGACGGGUGAGUAAUGCCUAGGAAAUUGCCCUGGUGUGGGGGAUAACCAUUGGAAACGAUGGCUAAUACCGCAUAAUACCUUCGGGUCAAAGAGGGGGACCUUCGGGCCUCUCGCGUCAGGAUAUGCCUAGGUGGGAUUAGCUAGUUGGUGAGGUAAUGGCUCACCAAGGCGACGAUCCCUAGCUGGUCUGAGAGGAUGAUCAGCCACACUGGAACUGAGACACGGUCCAGACUCCUACGGGAGGCAGCAGUGGGGAAUAUUGCACAAUGGGCGCAAGCCUGAUGCAGCCAUGCCGCGUGUGUGAAGAAGGCCUUCGGGUUGUAAAGCACUUUCAGUCGUGAGGAAGGUAGUGUAGUUAAUAGCUGCAUUAUUUGACGUUAGCGACAGAAGAAGCACCGGCUAACUCCGUGCCAGCAGCCGCGGUAAUACGGAGGGUGCGAGCGUUAAUCGGAAUUACUGGGCGUAAAGCGCAUGCAGGUGGUUUGUUAAGUCAGAUGUGAAAGCCCGGGGCUCAACCUCGGAAUAGCAUUUGAAACUGGCAGACUAGAGUACUGUAGAGGGGGGUAGAAUUUCAGGUGUAGCGGUGAAAUGCGUAGAGAUCUGAAGGAAUACCGGUGGCGAAGGCGGCCCCCUGGACAGAUACUGACACUCGUGCGAAAGCGUGGGGAGCAAACAGG